This 463-nucleotide ribosomal RNA is filed under the name uncultured bacterium. RNAcentral describes it as "partial 16S ribosomal RNA". It matches the Rfam family "Bacterial small subunit ribosomal RNA", at positions 339 to 795 of the family's 1533-position model. The record is from RNAcentral.
CUACGGGGCGCAGCAGUGGGGAAUAUUGCACAAUGGGUGCAAGCCUGAUGCAGCCAUGCCGCGUGUAUGAAGAAGGCCUUCGGGUUGUAAAGUACUUUCAGCGGGGAGGAAGGGAGUAAAGUUAAUACCUUUGCUCAUUGACGUUACCCGCAGAAGAAGCACCGGCUAACUCCGUGCCAGCAGCCGCGGUAAUACGGAGGGUGCAAGCGUUAAUCGGAAUUACUGGGCGUAAAGCGCACGCAGGCGGUUUGUUAAGUCAGAUGUGAAAUCCCCGGGCUCAACCUGGGAACUGCAUCUGAUACUGGCAAGCUUGAGUCUCGUAGAGGGGGGUAGAAUUCCAGGUGUAGCGGUGAAAUGCGUAGAGAUCUGGAGGAAUACCGGUGGCGAAGGCGGCCCCCUGGACGAAGACUGACGCUCAGGUGCGAAAGCGUGGGGAGCAAACAGGAUUAAUACCCUAGUAGUC